Molecule: ribosomal RNA, 465 nt
Filed under: Vreelandella stevensii
Lineage: Bacteria; Pseudomonadati; Pseudomonadota; Gammaproteobacteria; Oceanospirillales; Halomonadaceae
Description: partial 16S ribosomal RNA
Rfam family: Bacterial small subunit ribosomal RNA
Source: RNAcentral
CCUACGGGUGGCUGCAGUGGGGAAUAUUGGACAAUGGGGGGAACCCUGAUCCAGCCAUGCCGCGUGUGUGAAGAAGGCCCUCGGGUUGUAAAGCACUUUCAGUGAGGAAGAACGCCUGGUGGUUAUUACCCAUCAGGAAAGACAUCACUCACAGAAGAAGCACCGGCUAACUCCGUGCCAGCAGCCGCGGUAAUACGGAGGGUGCGAGCGUUAAUCGGAAUUACUGGGCGUAAAGCGCGCGUAGGUGGCUUGAUAAGCCGGUUGUGAAAGCCCCGGGCUCAACCUGGGAACGGCAUCCGGAACUGUCAAGCUAGAGUGCAGGAGAGGAAGGUAGAAUUCCCGGUGUAGCGGUGAAAUGCGUAGAGAUCGGGAGGAAUACCAGUGGCGAAGGCGGCCUUCUGGACUGACACUGACACUGAGGUGCGAAAGCGUGGGUAGCAAACAGGAUUAGAUACCCCUGUAGUC